CUUCGGGAUGGAAGGAUAAGCCUUAGUGGCGGACGGGUGAGUAACGCGUGGGUAACCUGCCCUUUUGUGGGGAACAACUUCGAGAAAUCGGAGCUAAUACCGCAUAAUAAUAGAGGAUCGCAUGAUUCUUUAAGGAAAGAUGGCCUCUGAAGAUGCUAUCGCAAAAGGAUGGACCCGCGUCUGAUUAGCUAGUUGGAAGGGUAACGGCCUACCAAGGCAACGAUCAGUAGCCGGCCUGAGAGGGUGAACGGCCACAUUGGGACUGAGACACGGCCCAAACUCCUACGGGAGGCAGCAGUGGGGAAUCUUCCGCAAUGGGCGAAAGCCUGACGGAGCAAUGCCGCGUGAGUGAAGAAGGCCUUCGGGUUGUAAAACUCUGUCCUUAUCGAAGAGAGGUAGGUAUGUGAAUAAUGUACCUAUAGGACGGUAGAUAAGGAGGAAGCCCCGGCUAACUACGUGCCAGCAGCCGCGGUAAUACGUAGGGGGCGAGCGUUGUCCGGAAUCACUGGGCGUAAAGGGCGCGUAGGCGGUUUAAUAAGUCAGUGGUGAAAACUGAGGGCUCAACCCUCAGCCUGCCACUGAUACUGUUAGACUUGAGUAUGGAAGAGGAGAAUGGAAUUCCUAGUGUAGCGGUGAAAUGCGUAGAUAUUAGGAGGAACACCAGUGGCGAAGGCGAUUCUCUGGGCCAAGACUGACGCUGAGGCGCGAAAGCGUGGGGAGCAAACAGGAUUAGAUACCCUGGUAGUCCACGC
RNAcentral lists this ribosomal RNA (752 nucleotides) under uncultured bacterium. Its description in RNAcentral is "bacterial SSU rRNA". It matches the Rfam family "Bacterial small subunit ribosomal RNA", at positions 74 to 800 of the family's 1533-position model. The record is from RNAcentral.